UCUUUCACUGUGGUUUCUGUCAAUGCUGAUGGUUACCCUUACUAUUCUCCUCCUCCUCCUUACGAGUACAAAUCACCACCUCCUCCACCUUAUGAGCACAAGUCUCCUCCUUAUGAGUACAAGUCUCCACCUCCCCCAUCUCCAUCUCCUCCUCCUCCUUACGUCUACAAGUCUCCACCUCCACCACCAUAUGAGCACAAGUCUCCUCCAUAUGUGUACAAAUCACCACCUCCUCCAUCUCCUUCACCACCACCUCCUUACGUCUACAAGUCUCCACCUCCUCCUCCUUAUGUCUACAAGUCUCCACCUCCUCCUCCUUACGUCUACAAGUCUCCACCACCACCUCCUUAUGUCUACAAAUCUCCCCCUCCACCACCAUAUGAGCACAAGGCUCCACCAUAUUAUUACAAGUCACCACCACCUCCUUCCCCAUCUCCUCCACCUCCUUAUUACUAUAAAUCUCCUCCACCACCCUCUCCCUCACCUCCUCCUCCCUACUACUACAAGUCUCCACCACCUCCUUCACCAUCUCCUCCUCCACCCUACUACUACAAGUCCCCACCACCUCCUUCACCAUCUCCUCCUCCACCCUACUACUACAAGUCCCCACCACCACCCUCCCCAACUCCCUACUACUACAAGUCCCCACCACCACCAUCUCCAACUCCCUACUACUACAAGUCUCCACCACCACCAUCUCCAACUCCUUACUAUCCAUCCCCCACUCCUUACUACUACAAGUCUCCACCACCACCAUCCCCAACUCCCUACUACUACAAGUCUCCUCCUCCUCCUUCACCUACUCCUUACUACUACACUUCUCCACCACCACCCAAAUAUCCACCUCCCUACUAUUAUAACUCCCCUC
Molecule: long non-coding RNA, 868 nt
Filed under: Phaseolus vulgaris (common bean)
Lineage: Eukaryota; Viridiplantae; Streptophyta; Magnoliopsida; Fabales; Fabaceae
Description: long non-coding RNA (PVUL_LNC001945)
Source: RNAcentral